GACGAACGCUGGCGGCGUGCUUAACACAUGCAAGUCGAACGGAAAGGCCCUGCUUUUGUGGGGUGCUCGAGUGGCGAACGGGUGAGUAACACGUGAGUAACCUGCCCUUGACUUUGGGAUAACUUCAGGAAACUGGGGCUAAUACCGGAUAGGAGCUCCUGCUGCAUGGUGGGGGUUGGAAAGUUUCGGCGGUUGGGGAUGGACUCGCGGCUUAUCAGCUUGUUGGUGGGGUAGUGGCUUACCAAGGCUUUGACGGGUAGCCGGCCUGAGAGGGUGACCGGCCACAUUGGGACUGAGAUACGUCCCAGACCCCUACGGGAGGCAGCAGUGGGGAAUAUUGCACAAUGGGCGGAAGCCUGAUGCAGCAACGCCGCGUGCGGGAUGACGGCCUUCGGGUUGUAAACCGCUUUCGCCUGUGACGAAGCGUGAGUGACGGUAAUGGGUAAAGAAGCACCGGCUAACUACGUG
This 468-nucleotide ribosomal RNA is filed under the name uncultured bacterium. RNAcentral describes it as "partial 16S ribosomal RNA". It matches the Rfam family "Bacterial small subunit ribosomal RNA", at positions 28 to 507 of the family's 1533-position model. The record is from RNAcentral.